Molecule: ribosomal RNA, 433 nt
Filed under: uncultured bacterium
Lineage: Bacteria
Description: partial 16S ribosomal RNA
Rfam family: Bacterial small subunit ribosomal RNA
Source: RNAcentral
AACGAACGCUGGCGGCAUGCCUAACACAUGCAAGUCGAACGAGACCUUCGGGUCUAGUGGCGCACGGGUGCGUAACGCGUGGGAACCUGCCCUUAGGUUCGGAAUAACUCCCCGAAAGGGGUGCUAAUAUCGGAUAAUGUCUUCGGACCAAAGAUUUAUCGCCUUUGGAUGGGCCCGCGUUGGAUUAGCUAGUUGGUAGGGUAAAAGCCUACCAAGGCGACGAUCCAUAGCUGGUCUGAGAGGAUGAUCAGCCACACUGGGACUGAGACACGGCCCAGACUCCUACGGGAGGCAGCAGUGGGGAAUAUUGGACAAUGGGCGAGAGCCUGAUCCAGCAAUGCCGCGUGAGUGAUGAAGGCCUUAGGGUUGUAAAGCUCUUUUACCCGGGAUGAUAAUGACAGUACCGGGAGAAUAAGCACCGGCUAACUCCGUG